UAAUAACCAUAUUUUGCAUGCUAAUUGGUAGUACCUUAUUUUGAUAGUGGUCUAACCUUUUGUUAUUUGCUGUAGGUGCCAGGGAUCGUUGAAUUAGCAAAGAGGCUCUACUGUUUCUCAUGGUCAUUUCAUCCGUCGCUUUUGGAGAGGCCAACCAUGAGCUUGUAACUGUCUUCUUGAGUAAUGUGGGAAUUUUGUGCUGGAGUUCCAAAUGUGUGGUAUGUCCUUCAUUCCUAACUUGCACAUUUCACUCUAAUAAGCUGCAUCACUUUAACCAACGUAAAAGGGAACAGCACAGCAACAGCCAUCCACUUUAAUAAUCAUCGUAUUGCCUGGUAAAACCAAAUAUUUUUUAAUUGAAUGCUGAAGAGAGCUAAUAAAAUGAUUUGGCAUUGUUAGUAGGGGCAUGGACUGGAUGGAAGAAGUCAGGAAUGCUGGCAGAACAAAAGCUGCUUGUGGCUCCAUUUGUUCUCCAUUGCCUAGAUUAGAAAAAUGUUAUUUUGUUGCUUGCUAUCCAUUGCCCAGCAGAGGGGCAACCUCUUUGGGUCUUUUCCCAAGCAUAGGCCGUUAAUGUCCUGUCCGGCUGUCACUCAACUAGCCUAGUCUGUACCAUCUUCCUAGUAGUCAAGGUUUCUGUGCCUGCCUGCAGCCACCACAACCUUUAUGGCUGAGGUGGGUCUGAACAUUGGUAUCUUUUUGUAGGUCCAAUAUAUCCGUGGAGUUUGAGCUUCCUUCCUAGAUAGCAGGAAAAUUACCAAUAUAAAACUAGGACGGUUUGGGUAUGGUGCAUCCACCAAAUCACAUGCAUGAUCGCAUCUACAAGAAUUGUCUGUUGUCUUAUUGUGUUAGCAUAGGAUGAUGUUACGAGCCAUUUUGCUUGGUCAAUCCUUUGCCAAGGUACAUGUUAUUGAUUGUUAGUUGAUAUCCAGAUGGUGCCUCUAAUUCUCAUCCCAUCAUGUAUAUAAACUGGAUCUCCGAGUCAUGUAACUGAGAACUCAUGGCAAUAAUGCUUGGUCUGCAUCAUUUCUCAGGUAAAAUGGCCUGAUGAUUGUAGAAGGGAUGCAGUCAUCUAGGAUUCUAGAUGAUAGCAUGAAAACUGAGCAUGCUAUGAGCAUGCACUGAUUUUAUCAUGCGGUGCAAACCAACAGGUCCAACGAGGUUUUCACUACAUGCUUGUUUUCUUUCCUGUGCUACUUUAUAGGUCUACUAUUCCUUGACAAGCAUCAGCUAGCCUUAGGUUAAUUGGUACAGUGUUGAAUUGCUGAGGGGUGGUACCUGAUAUCAGAAAUCCUUGGUUGCUGGCUCGAGGCAGGCAGUCUGGGCAUGCCUUUCAUGCGCUUGCUUUUGCUUGUCAUGGGGGCGGUCUUCUCACUAGUGUUAUGCAGAAACAUAUCUUAAGCUGUAUCGAAAGGAGCAAGCGGGGCCUUUCUUGCUGAUACUAGCAUUUGUUUUAGUGCACGAAUAUAUUUUAAAAGUUUAUUCUAAUGGGAUAUUACUGCAGAUUUUAGAAAAUUCAUGUUAUUUACUGGUUA
Non-coding RNA from Elaeis guineensis (African oil palm), 1532 nucleotides. NCBI's taxonomy places the organism in Eukaryota, Viridiplantae, Streptophyta, Magnoliopsida, Arecales, Arecaceae. The record is from RefSeq and is a predicted model, not a curated record.